This 474-nucleotide ribosomal RNA is filed under the name Bambusiphaga sp. nov. 3 XHH-2010. RNAcentral's name for it is "partial 16S ribosomal RNA". The record is from RNAcentral. Lineage: Eukaryota; Metazoa; Arthropoda; Insecta; Hemiptera; Delphacidae.
UUUUAAUAGCUGCAGUAAUUUAACUGUACAAAGGUAGCAUAAUAAUUAGUCUUUUAAUUGGGGUCUAGAAUGAAUGGUUUAACAAGAAGAAAACUUUAUUUUUAUAAUAAAAUUUUAAUUUAAUUUUUUGGUUAAAAAGCUAAAAUAUUUAAUUGGGACGAUAAGACCCUAUAGAUCUUAAAUUUUUUGUUGAUUAUACAUUUAUUUUUAGUAAAAUUAAUAGUUUUUAAUUAAAAAUUUUGGUUGGGGUGACUUAAAAAUAUUUAAAACUUUUUAAUAUUUUUACAUUUAUUGAUGUUUUAUUUUGAUCUUUAACUUUUGAUUAUUAGAUUAAGAUACCUUAGGGAUAACAGCGUAAUAUAUUUGGAUAGUUCAUAUUGAUAAUUUUUGAUUACGACCUCGAUGUUGAAUUAAUUUAAAUUUUUGAAGCAGAAAUUAAAAUUUUUGGGUCUGUUCGACCUUUAAUUAAUUACA